RNAcentral lists this ribosomal RNA (495 nucleotides) under uncultured bacterium. RNAcentral describes it as "partial 16S ribosomal RNA". It matches the Rfam family "Bacterial small subunit ribosomal RNA", at positions 28 to 507 of the family's 1533-position model. The record is from RNAcentral.
GACGAACGCUGGCGGCGUGCAUAAUACAUGCAAGUAGAACGCUGAAGGAGGAGCUUGCUCUUCUGGAUGAGUUGCGAACGGGUGAGUAACGCGUAGGUAACCUGCCUGGUAGCGGGGGAUAACUAUUGGAAACGAUAGCUAAUACCGCAUAAGAGUAGAUGUUGCAUGACAUUUGCUUAAAAGGUGCAAUUGCAUCACUACCAGAUGGACCUGCGUUGUAUUAGCUAGUUGGUGGGGUAACGGCUCACCAAGGCGACGAUACAUAGCCGACCUGAGAGGGUGAUCGGCCACACUGGGACUGAGACACGGCCCAGACUCCUACGGGAGGCAGCAGUAGGGAAUCUUCGGCAAUGGACGGAAGUCUGACCGAGCAACGCCGCGUGAGUGAAGAAGGUUUUCGGAUCGUAAAGCUCUGUUGUAAGAGAAGAACGAGUGUGAGAGUGGAAAGUUCACACUGUGACGGUAUCUUACCAGAAAGGGACGGCUAACUACGUG